Molecule: long non-coding RNA, 1652 nt
Organism: Salvia splendens (bonfire salvia)
Lineage: Eukaryota; Viridiplantae; Streptophyta; Magnoliopsida; Lamiales; Lamiaceae
Exons: 4
Source: RefSeq, a predicted model, not a curated record
GAAGCUGCUGUAACUUCAAAUUAAGAUGAAAAUUUGUCCUUCAGUUUUGUUUAGUGUUUUUUUAUCGUAGUAUGUUGCACCUAAUGAUUAUAUGAUAUCUUUCUCUCAGAUGACUGCUCAAAUACCUUUGAUAUAUUUCAUUUGGUAAUGUACUAGUGACUGGUGAGGCAUACACUCAUUGUACUAGUGACUAGUGAGGCAUACACUCAUUUUAGCUAACUGUUGAAUUUUAUGAUUGUUUUGUAAAUUUCAUGUUCAUCCUGAUCCUCACAUUCACCUUUGGAUAAGGAUAAUAUAUCAUUCCGCUUACACCAAGCAAGAGGAUUCUAGUGAAACGCUACCUUGGCCUUUGAUCGUAAUUAUCAGUUGUGCACCCUGGUCUUCUUUACCGGUAGCCUUGUAGCUGGUUGCAAGCAGUGGCAGAGAUGAAAGAGUGCAACCGCAGGCUCAGUUCCUAAAACUUUUCGAAGAUGUCAAUGAUAUCGAGGAUGAAUUGGGUAUAGGUCCUCUCAGUCAUAUAGUUUAAAUCACACAUCCGGAUCUUCUCACUCUUUGUCUGUAUACUAUGGCUAGCUGCAACGGGACGGGCAAUUUUGUUUAGGCUCUUCCACUAUAUCUGGAUAAGUUGUUUCAUCCUAUUGUUGCUGUCAUUCUGUUGACUGUUGAUAAUCCCUCAAGCAGCUUGCUCUAGACAUGGUUGACUGUGGGUGCUUUUUGUGUAUGGCUUGUGCACAUUUUGAUGAUUAUUUGCUACCCGAUUGCCUACCCUAUUGAAAAGCCUAUGAAAUUGAUCAAAUGGAAGACGUGACGAUGCUGAGUUGGUUCAAAAAAGGAAAGAAUGAGGGCGGAGGAUACAUGAAGGAUAGGCUGCCGGAAGAUUACUGUUGCCGCAUUUGCUUGAUGACUUCCACAUUCUAUGCCGGACUAACUGUGGCCAUUGGUUUUGUGGCAAGUCUUUCUCUUUCUGCAUUUCUUUCUUCCCUCUUUCUUUUCAACUUCAACUUGAAAUGAAGAAAUUGGAGUCUUAAAUUUGUGGGUUUUGGUUUCUUGUUGCCUCUGCCUAAAAAAGAAAUGCAGCUUCUGUUUAUCAAUAUUUGAUUAAAUGUGGGAGGAAAUGAAUAGAUUAAAUGUGUUUCUUGGCUAAAUUUCUAUCAAUCAAGAAUCAAGAUGGAGAUAAAAGAUUAUAAACAAUACUCUGUUUUACACUCUGUGUCUCCUAAUUAUGUUUUUCCUUUCCAAAUGGUUUAUUCUAUUGAUUAAAUGUUAUCAUUUCAUCCUCAAGAACACCUACUUAUGGGAUUACAUAUGAUCUGUGUCCUAUUGCAGUAGCCUGCCUUCUUCUACUGUCAUUAUUCAUGGAAAAUUUCCAGUAUUGCAAGUGUCCUAUGUGUCGAUCCUUGAUAUCUAAUCUGGUUCCUCAUUCGUAUGUAUAGUUCAGCCAGGAAGACAAGUUCGCUAGAUACUCAGAGAGCUCAAGCGAUGCAAUUAGUUCAAGUACUUUUGUUUAGUUUUCUGUACAAGUAAAUAUUGGCGUAUGUUCUUUUACAUUCAUAUGCCAUGCCUUGACAUGUUUCCUCUAGAUGGAUGUAAUGAAAUUGAAUGGAUAACUGCUAACUGUUAUCUGCUAAUACAAGUCCCAUUGCCAUUUGACA